UUGAACAAGGUCACAAGGCUGGUUAAAGUAGGGAAAAUAAAUGAAAUAUUUUACAGUUCAUGGCAUAAGAAUACGCCAGUUUCAGGCAUGUAGAUGAUGAUGAUGGUGGUGGUGGAGAUAAUGAUAAUGAUGAUGACAGGAACUGAAGGGCACAAUUAAGGCCUUAAAGAUCUCCUGGAUGUGGUCACUGUAACCUGUCAAGGCAUGACCUGGAAUCUUUUACAGCAUGGCUUCUCUCCUAGAAUCACAGAGUGGCCAAGAGUGAGGACGUUGACACUACACAGACCUGGGGCAGACCCGGCCCUGCUGCUGAGUGGUUGACUGGCCCCAGUUUCUCCACCUGGGAAACAGGCGGCCUUCUCUCUCUCUACGUCAUCAAGUCAGUGCAGAGCGCAUGGAGCAGCAACGCCCUGCCCAGCUCUGGGCUGCCCGCUGCGUGCUGAGGAUCCAGAGACAAACCAGCCAUGCUCCUGGCUGAGCGGAAGGUCCUCCCGAGCCUGCACAGUCUGAACUUGCUGAGCAGCCUGAGCUGGCGAAGAUGCCCUCCUUUAGAGGAGCGUGCAGACUUGAUAAGGGAAACAGAUGGGCCAACAGAUAAUUCCCAGCAGAGGUGUGUUCAAACAUGAGCCCUGGGGACUAGGUACUAAGCAGAUGGAGGAACAGAGAUGUAAGUAACUUACCCAAGAUCACACAGCCAGCAGAUCUGCACCGAGGCAGUGUGUCCAGCUUUUUAUCGUCAUGGUAUCCAGGUCUACUUUGGAAACGAGGCGGCUAUGCCUCAAAAGGGAAGGGUUCCCAGAGAGAGUGAUGUUGGACGUGGGCCUUGAGGAGGAAGUAGAGAAGUUUUAGAGGUAGAGGAGGCCACAGCAAGAUGCCCCAACAGCUGAAAGUGCCUGUCACGUGCCAAGAGUGGCAAGGGGUGGAGGUUUCCUGAGAGGGGAAGUGGAGGAGAGGCCGGCAGGGCCAGACUCUGAUCCUUUCUUGAAGGAGUGGCUUGGGUAGUCCGAUUUUAAAUGAAGAAAGAGCUCUCAGCGGGGUGCAGUGGCUCACGCCUGUAAUUUCAGCACUUUGGGAGGCCAAGGCUGGUGGAUCACCUGAGGUCAGGAGUUCAAGACUAGCCUGGCCAACAUGGCGAAACCCCGUCUCUACAAAAAUACAAGAAUUAGCCAGGCAUGAUUGUGGGUGCCCGUAAUGCCAGCUACUCGGGAGGCUAAGGAGGGAGAAUCGCUUGAUCCCAGGAGGCAGAGGUUGCAGAGAGCCGAGAUGGCACCACUGCACUCCAGCCUGGGUGACAGAGUGAGAUUCCAUCUCUAAAACAACAACAAAGAAAACGAAAACAAAACAAAAAAAAGAAGGAAAAAAAAAGGAAGAGCUCCCAGGCAGCUCAGUAGAGAAUGGCUUGAGAGGUGGGGGAAGAUUAGAGGCAGGGGAAAGUGGACACCUGCUGUUUCAGCCCCCUAGCACCUGCUCUUCCCCAGGAGACAACCUCCUUUGUUCUGAGGCCUGGUGUUUUCACUGAUGCUGACUGCUUGAGGGGUGGCACAUGACUCAGGUCUGGCCAAUCAGCCUCUUCCAUCCCCCUGGCUGCAGGGACUGGCUCAGGAGGGUGCAUGUGACCAGAGGCCGACCGAUGAGACUCAGUUCUGAGAUUUUUGUUAGACUUGUUGCAGAAAAGAGACUGUCUCCUGAGGUUGCUGAGCUGGGUAUCUCCACCAGGAGCUGCAGGGGCCAUGCUGUCACCAUGUGAAGACAGGUUGCUUGACAACAAAGUUGCAUUAGUUUCCUUGGGCAGCCAUAGCAAAGUAUCACAGACUGGGGAGCUUAAACAACAGAAAUUUAUUUCCCCACAAUUCUGGAGGCUAAGUCCAAGAUCAAAGUGUCAGCAGGGUUGAUUUCUUCUGAGGCUUCUCUUCGGCUUGUAGAUGGGUGGCUGUCUUCUUCUGGUGUCUUUACAUGGUCUUCCCUCUGUAUGUGUGUGUGUCUGUGUCCCAAUCUCCUCCUUUUCUUCUUCUCCUUUUUUUUUUUUUUUCUUUUGGGAUGGAGUCUCUCACUCUGUCCCCAGGCUGGAGUGCAGUGACCUGAUCUCGGCUCACUGCAACCUUCACCUCCUGGUUCAAGUGAUUCUCCUGCCUCAGCCCCCCGAGUAGCUGGGACUACAGGCACAAGCCACCAUGCCCAGCUAAUUUUUGUAUUUUUAGUAGGGACUGGCUUUCACCUUAUUGGCCAGGCUGGUCUGGAACUCCUGACCCUGUGAUCCGCCUGCCUUGGCCUCCCAAAGUGCUGGGAUUACAGACGUGAGCCACUGUGCCCCGGCCAUACACAACUCAUAAUGGAUUAAGGUCCACCUAAUGACCUCACUUAACCUUAAUUACCUCUUUAAAGACCCUGUCAGAAAAUAUAGUUACAUCUGAAGUACCCGGGGUUAGGAUUUCAACAUACUGGAGGUGGGAGGAGCACAAUUCAGCGCAUAACAGAAGCUAACACAGAAAAAAACACAGAGAUGGGGUAAGAGACUGAGGCUUGACUUUGUUUGAGCUCCUGGAUCCAGCUGUGCCUGAAGUUGAAACUAAUACUAUCCAGGACUCUUGAGUUUCAUGAUCCAAUAAGUACCUAAAUCCCACCUCUCCUUUUUUUUCCCCUCUUGAACCUAGUUGAGUUGGAUUUCUGUCACUUACAGUUAAAAUUCCUGAGUAAUACACAGGAGAACUAGUUAACAAAUUAUUAAAAUAGCCCACCCCUAAUUUAAUCACCAUGUGCAAGGACAGUGCUUGUAUGUACACCCAGGUAUGUCUAAUUCUAAUAGCUAGAGGUAGCAAAUAUGGUAAAAAUUGAGCCAAGUUUGCACUAGCCUCUUCCAUUAAGCAGGAAUUCCCACCUUAGCUCUGAAGCCAUGUAGGACAGGGCUGGAGAAACUACUAUUCCUACCAAUGUUUCUAAUGUGUGCAGUAGGCUGGGGUGCUGGCAGGGGAAAAUUAAAAAUGUAGUUUGGGUUAAAAAAAAAAGAAAAAGAGCUUUCUAGGCCAGGCGCAGUGGCUCACGCCUGUAAUCCCAGCAUGUUGGGAGGCUGGGGCGGGUGGAUAGCUUGAAUCCAGGAGUUUGAGACCAGCCUGCGCAACGUGGUGAAACCCCGUCUCUACAGAAAAUACAAAAAUUAGCCAGGAGAGUCGCUGUGUGUCUGCAAUCCCAGCUACUUGGGAGGCUGAGGUGGGAGGAUUGCUUGAACCCAGGAGGCGAUGGUUGCAGUGAGCCGAGAUGGCGCCACUGUACUCCAGCCUGGGUGACAGAGUGAGACCCUGUCUCAAAAUCAAUCAGUCAAUCAAUCAAUCAAACAAACAAACAAACAAAAAACAGCUUUCCAGAAGGGAAAAAUCAUUUUGGGAAGCUUUGAGUAGGGGCUGUGGAGAGUGGGCUCCAGACGUCACUUCAUUGGUUGGCAGGUGCUGUUAGGGGGUGCCCAGAGGGGAGCUCGGGGGAGCGGCGGCUUUCUUCCAGCAGAUAUGGACUCGGGCAGGAGCCACUGAGCAAGUACUCCGAUGGGCUGGGCUUCCUGAGGCUUCAUGCCUGGGCUGAGCAGGGCGGGGCUGUGGUCCACGUGGUGCCCAUUGGCCUCCCAAAAGGAAGGAGCGGGGAGAACUAGAAAUGUGGCUGGAAAAAGUCAGCAUCUCCCUCCUGGGCGGGCUCCCUGGUGGUCCCGGGAGCUGGCCAUGUCUGGAGGAGGAGGCUCCUCUAAGGUGUGCAGCUGCCUUUCUCAAUGCCGCUGAGUUGGAUUGGGAUCUCUUUCAAUGAGAGUGUUUUGAGGGACCCUCAGCUCCAUGCUCUGCUGGCUUCCUCCAGGGAUGCUGAGAGGUGGCCCUUCUAGUGGUAAGAUGAGGGGCCCAUGGCCUUGUGGAGUCAGACACACUGGCAUUCACUGAAAGCUCUGUGCCUGACCUACCUGGUGACUUGGGGCAAGUGACUUCACCUGACUGAGCCUCUUUCCUUCAUCACUGGCAAAAUGGAACCAACUUCACAGCCUUCUCCUGAGGCUUAAGUGAAACCAAGCAGUCAUAAAGGGAUAGGCUUUGGAGUCCCUGGGUUUGCAUCCCAGUUUACUAACUGAGCUGGGUGGCCUUGGGCAAGUCACUCACCCUCUCUGAGCCUCAGUGUCCUACUCUGUAAAAUGAACCCACCAAUGGUACUUAUUUCCUAGGGCAAAUGUGAGGAUUGACAGAUAAAACAUGUAAACUUCAUGAAAGCAAGGGGUUUUGUUAUUGAUUUAUCCCCUCUGCAGUUCCUGGGACAUAAAGACACUAAAUAAAUGGGAUCAGCUUUUAUUGUUAUUAUGAUUCACCGUCACCCAGCACUGGUUGAGGCUGCUCUCUGUGGCAUCCUGUAGACACACUUGUAUGUGAGUUUCUGGUCAGGAUGGGGAGGACAAGACCACUGUCUCUGGCACACUUAGCAAACUCUAUCUCCAGGGAUAGAGUAAGACUCCUAUGGUGCAGGAGGGGGCAUGAGGGAAGGCUAGGAGUGCCCUCUGCACUGUUUAAGCACCUCACUUGUGUCAUUUCACUGCACCCAUACCCACGCCCCAUGAACUAGAUUCAUUUAUUACCCCAUUUGACGAUGAGGAGGCUGAGGUUCAUCAAGGUAUAGCCAUUGAGAUCUUACUGCCAGGGAGAGGUAGAGCCAGGGUUCAAACCUGAAUUUGUACUGUUCCAAAUCCCUUUUUUAAAAAUUUUUAUUUUUAUUUUUUUUUUAUUUUCCCAGGCUGGAGUGCAGUGGGCAAUUAAGGCUGACUACAGCCCCCAACUCCUGGGCCCAGACAAUCCUCCCGCUUCAGCCUCCCAAGUAGCUGGGACCACAGACGUGUGCCACAGUGUAGGCCCCUUCUUUUUAAAUAGCGUGGUGCUGUGUCCCCUGCUCCGUGCCCCUCAGGAUUCUUUAGGAAGUGGCUCCAUCGACCCACUCUCAGUUGAGCUGAAAGAGGACUCGAGGGACUCUUUAUUGGGAAAAAAUGGAGUGCAAAGCCUACUCCUGCCCCUGCCAGCACCAGCCUUCGGAGGCAAAUAAAAAGCAGUGGGCACUGGGACAGCAGCCCCAGAGGUGCACUAAAAUCCACCUGACAAAUGGCCCCUCUCCCAUGAGCCCACGAACAGCAGAGAGGAAGGUGGCCAGGGCCAAGUAGAAAGAUUUCUACAGCAUGGCCGAGUUCUCCAAGGUCAAGAGCAAGCAGAGCUGCCGCCUGUAUUCCUGAGAACUGGCCUCCUGGGGAUGUGGCCAGCCCUUUUUAAGGGAUUUGGGUCAAGGUGGGGAUUCUGACCCUCACCGCUGUGCUGGGACUGGCCUGGGAACUGGGAAGGAGGAUACACUUGGGAAAACUGCAGUGAAGAAUGCAUAAUAAUGGAAGGAAUCUCAUGGAUGAUUAUCAGGUAGCUCUCAGGAUCAAGAGGAAAGCUGGAGACGGCCUUUCGGCAGGAAGGGGGAAACUGAGGCAGAAGGCAGACCCUGCCCAGUGAUGGUCCCUUUCACAUGUCACUACUGGCACCAUCACUGUGGGACAUAUACUCCCACCAUGGGCACUACAGGCUCUGGGUCUUGCUGUGCUCCCUGGACUGUUGACUGCCUGGAAGCCUCUGGGAGUCACCUCUCGCUCUGUAGCUUCAGGUCUCUCCUCCCAGAGUCAAACUCCCCAUGGGCAGGGCUGCUGGAUAAAAUACAGGAUGCCCAGUGACAUUCUACUUUCAGAUAAUUGAAAAAAAUUUUUUAGUAGAAAAAAGUUAUUUAUCUGAAAUUCAAAUUUAACUGGAUAGCCUGUAUUUUUAUUUGCUAACUUAGCCGCCCCACUCAGAGCGCUGGGCCCUGCUCUGGUGCCUGGUGGGGAGGAACUCUGUCUCUUCCACUUCUGGGGUAAGAAUGUCAAUCUUGUUGGAUUGGAUUGAUUACAUUGUUUGGAUGGAAAAUAGAGGAAAAAGAGCACAUACAACUGCGACUCCUUAAACCUGUCCCCCUAUUUGUUUUUUUUGUUUUUUUUUUUGAGACAGGGUCUCACUCUGUCACCCAGGCUGGAGUGCAGUGUCAUGGUCAGGGUUUGCUGCAGCCUUGAAGUCCUGAGCUCAAGUGAUCCUCCUGCCUCAGCCUCCAGAGUACCUGGGAGUACAGGCGUGCGCCACCACACCCAGCUAAUUUUUGUAAUUUUUUUUUUUUUGUAGAGAUGGGGUUUCACCAUGUUGGCCAGGCUGGUCUCAAACUCCUGGGCUCAGGUGAUCUGCCCUCCUCGGCCUCCCGAAGUGCUGGGAUUACAGGUGUGAGCCACCAUGCCUGCCUGUCCCAUUUCCCCAUUUUAAAAAAGUCACCUGCCCGAUUGGUUUUCAAAGCUGCCUUCACUCAAAGAGGGCCUGGAGGGUAGGAAUGACUCAUACAGUCAUUCAUUGUCUGUGCCCGCUUUUCAUAGCACAAAAGAUAGGUCCUUCCCAUCCCGCCCAUCCUCUCCCUGCUGGUCAUCUUGUAUGCGGAGAAUCCAAGGAUCUUCUUACCAAUGAGUUCUUGCCGCUCAUGAGCAGGUGAAGGAGUGGAGCUGAAGUGGAAAUAAUCUAUGGGCUGGACUGUCUAGACAGCAUUUGCUCCUCUGGAUAGGGAGGAGAGCAGACAGAAGCGGGCUUUGGCCAAACUGAAACUCAAGCCAUCACUGCCAGCCCUUCCUGAGCCAUCUCAGAUGAGCCUUGUCUCUGGGCCACAGCCAGAAUUGGCCUGGGCUGUUUCUCACUCCUAUUUCAAAGGAUUUGUGCUCCUAGCAGAGGAAAAGCUUGAACAUUUACAGUGAAAAAUUUAGUAGAAGGGGGAAGAAACAGAGGGUCUUUCUUUCUUUCUUUCUUUCUUUUUUCUUUCUUCUUUUCCUUCUUUUGUCUUAUCUUUUGGUUUUGGGGCAGUGAAAGAAAAUUAAUUUUUUAGCUAUAAAACUUUGUCUUAAGAUCAGUUUUGGAAAGAAAAGCAUCUACUAAUUGAAAACGUCACUUUUCGGGCCCUUAAGUCAAGGGAAACAGGUGCAAGUUUGUGGUUUUAGACACAGCAUUUCUUUUGGAAAAAAGUAGUAAAAGUACCCCAGAUAAGUUCUCUCCAAAGCUGGAUAGAUUUUUAUUUUUCAGCCCUUUAUUACAUAGAAGGUGACAGAUUAGCUGAAAAGUUAAAAGAAAAAUCAACUCUCACCCUUGUAGGUAACACUCCAAUCUCUCUCUCUCUUUUUUCUUUCCAAGGCUGAAGAGAGGGCAACUGUUUACUGCAAUUUUGAUAAAAUUCCCUUUCAAUACGGCCUGUUCCUGGAUAGAGUCCCACCUUUCAUCUGCUUUUAUUCCUAAUCCUGUGGCAAAGCCUGGACCUCCCUUUUCUUCUCAUACAAGCUCGACAGAGCUGGCAUUUUCCUUCUCCAUUUCAGUGACAUGUUUUUCAGUGUUUUGUCUGUUUGUGAAGGGGCAGAAAUGUCAAGGUCAAAAAAGUCUUGGAAAAAAUGAGUAGUAUUUCUGUACCUGCUGAGGGUUAGGUGCUUGGAUGUUAUAUAUCUCUGCAUUCCCACAGUAAAACCAUGUGUGGUUGGGGAGCUUUUCCUUUUUUAACCUCUCUGGGUGGUUGAGGAAUUGGAGGCUCAGAGAGGAGAAGUGACACAGCCCAAGGUGACGCCACCAGGAGCUGAACUUGAAAGCCAAGCCAAGUCCGUCUGACCAUCAAGCGUUGCUCCUAUAAUCAUACUACCUUGCCUUCUGCCUUUGUAAACAUGAGGUGACACAUCAAGCUAGGGCUAUUAAAAUACCCAGAAGCACUUUUCUUCCAAAUAACUCACAAUAUCUUGUCUUUGGGAAGUAUUCAAUAGGUUUAUUUCAGUAAAAGAUACACCAUUGCCAUGGUUUUAGGGAGUGAUUCUGAAUUUUAUGUUACUGAUUAAGAAAGAUGGUUAAUGGAACCUGUUUCCUUAAGAAAUUUACAUCAUAUAUUAGUAAGCUGUUGCUGUGUAGCAAAUCACACCAACACUUAGUGCCUUGAAGUAACAACAUGUAUUAUCUCACAAUUUCUGUAGGUGUGAAAACUGGACAUCAUUUAGCUGGGUCCUGUGCUUCAGGGUAUCUCACAGGCAGCACACAAGGCUUCAUCUGGGCUAUACUCAUCAGAAGGCUGGAUUGGGGAAGAUCUGCUUCCAAGUUUACUUACAUGGUUGUUGGUGGGAUUCAGUUCCUGGUAGGCUGCCAGCUUUAGCUCCUCAUUUCCUGAUGGCUGGAGGGUUCCCUCAGUUCCUUUCCAUGUGGGCCUCUCCAGCAUGGCUGCUUGCUUCAUCAAAGUGUACAAGAAGGGAGACAGCAAUAGGAACAUGUCAGCAAGAUGGAAUCCACAGUCUUUUUAAAGCUAACCAUGGAAGUGAUAUUCCAUCACUUUUGGUGUAUUCUGUUUGUUAGGAACAAGACACUAGGUCCAGCCCACCACUCAAGGUAUGGGAUUACACACGGCAUGAAUACUAUGGGGUGGGGAUCACUGGAAAUUAUGUCAGCAGCUAUCUGUCACACAUGAGAGAAGUGGAGAUGGUAGUCAUAAUAAUAGUCAUCAUCAUCAUAAUAAUAAGGCUGGUGAGGAUAGCCAGCAUUUAUUGGGUGUUCUUGAUGCAUCAGGCACUGGGCUAAAUCCCUUCUAUGCAUUGUCUCCUUUAAUCUCCUCAUCACUCUCAUUAACUUCCCUGAGUUACUACAGCAAAGAGAUUAGGACCAGACUCUGUUGUUUCCACUCCGAAGUCCAUCCCUUUACAUGAUGCAGAUCAUUGAUAAGAAUCCACUGAGCUGCUGAGGCUCCAGGAAAGACCUGAUUGAGAGAGGAGUCUGAUAAACGAAGCUGAACUCACUGCUCCUCAGAAAACUGCAAAUGAACACAACCAGAAGCCAUUUCUUACCCAUCAGAUUGGAAAAGAAAAUAGCAUUGAAAUCAUAUAGCAGCAUCAUCCAGACCUGCAGAAUCAUACGUGAUCAUAGCCAGUUCACACUGAAAAAAGCCUUGUAGGAGAUUCGCCAACCUAAUCAUUCAGCUUACAGGUGCCUGAAACAAAGAAAAGAAAUGCAGAUAAUUGGAUCUUCAUGACAUUUUCCCAACUGGCCACUUUCCCUGUAACAAGACCAAGCCUGUCUCUUCCAUUGUACUCUCGUGAGCUACCUGGGUCAGAACCUGAAAUCUUGGCGCAGAAGUCCUGUGGCCUGCCUAUAAACUUCUCAUUCCCGGCAGCUGGCACAUGCAUGGCCCAAUAAAUAUUUCUUGAUUGAAUGGAAGGAGCUGUGAAUAGUGGCCUCCUCAAGCAAAGGACAUUUUAUCUCCCAAAGGGAAAUCUACUUUGUUGAUAUGAAAGUGAGCUUCUUAAUAGGUCUACGGGGCAACAUUUUGCUAACCCCAUUCAAAUUAUAACAGACUUCAAAGUCAUAAAGGCAGUAAUAUGCUUCCUUUUAAGUGUGUAAUUUGUAUUUUUUUACACCCAGGAAUGGAAAACAGGGAGUGAAAUAUCCCCCAAUUAUUAUUUUGUGCUUUUGAGGCAGGAUGGCCCACUCACCUGUGGGGACUCUGGUGGCCAAGCACCUCCCACCUCAUUCUUGGCAAUUGUUUUCAUCUGCCUCCCUUCACACUGGCCCUAGCUCAGGUCUGGAAUCUUCCCAGGGUCUGACCUCUGAGUGUCUGUCUCAUGCAAUUCUGCUGCCCUGGUAUUGACUCUCAGGACACAGAAGUAUACUCUCUGCCACAUUCAUGACCACCCUGGGUGACGUGUCAAGGCAUCUUAGUGCAGCCCUGAGUCCCUUGGAGGGAAAUGGCCCCAGUCUGCUUCCUGUUUGAGGUAGCUCUGUUCUGGAUCACUUGGUCCUCCCCUCUCCCUCCUGCCACUGCUGAUUGCAUUGUGGUGAUCACCCCAAGGUCAUCCCAAAGGCAGGCUGCCGUGUAGAGCCUGGCUUGGCACAGGAGGCCCCAGCCAAUGAUCUCUGAUGCUGACCUCAUGCUCCAGGUGCCUGAAACAAAGAAAAGAAAUGCAGAUAAUUGGAUCUUCAUGACAAUUUCCCAACUGGCCACUUUCCCUGUAACAAGACCAAGCCUGUCUCUUCCAUAUGGGUCAGCCAUAUCCCACCCACUCCUCCUGGGAUUUGACUUGGGGAAUGUGGACAGAAUCACACAGUCAGUAGAAGUUGGAAAGUAGGCGGAAGUGGCCACAUGGGGUAGGGACAUAUCAGAGUUAUGAUGAAUCAGAAGCAGAAGCCCCAAGUUGAAGAAGAGAUACAAAGCUUGGAAGCAGGAAGAGAUGGAGCGGACACACAAAGGAAUCCAACACUGGAGAACGGCAACGUAAAGGUGGCGUGCUAGGGGAAAGCUCCAGAAUUCCUGCAGCUGGGCGCUGGAGCCACCCUGAACUUUCAAAGACCUCCCUAUUCCAGUCUCCACAAUCCCAGGUCCUGGUAUGUCCCUGGAUUUGGGGGGAGAUUCUGGCUCCUUUGUAGCACCACAAUAAACCCUUAUUGCCUGAGUUAUCCCAAGUGACUCCCUGUUCUUUAUGGGCUCACAAGCCAACACACC
Molecule: long non-coding RNA, 10557 nt
Filed under: Homo sapiens (human)
Lineage: Eukaryota; Metazoa; Chordata; Mammalia; Primates; Hominidae
Description: HSALNT0097754
Source: RNAcentral